UACAGAGGGUGCGAGCGUUAAUCGGAAUUACUGGGCGUAAAGCGCGCGUAGGCGGCUUUGCAAGUCGGGUGUGAAAUCCCCAGGCUUAACCUGGGAACUGCAUUCGAGACUGCAUUGCUAGAGUAUGGGAGAGGGAAGUGGAAUUUCCGGUGUAGCGGUGAAAUGCGUAGAUAUCAGGAAGAACACCCGUGGCGAAAGCGGCUCUCUGGAACGGUACUGACGCUGAGACGCGAAAGCGUGGGGAGCGAACAGG
Molecule: ribosomal RNA, 253 nt
Filed under: uncultured bacterium
Lineage: Bacteria
Description: partial 16S ribosomal RNA
Rfam family: Bacterial small subunit ribosomal RNA
Source: RNAcentral